AUGCGCUGUGCGGCCGAUGAACGGUCUGGAGUGAGACCCACUCCCGAUCGGUUGCACUACCUUUGGAGAUGGCUCCCCAACGGUCCUCUCUUCCUCCUGCUCGCUCCUACGCCGCCACCGUUGUCAACGGUCAGAUCCGCAGCGGCUCCUCCCGACCACAGCCUCACCCGCUGGGCUUUCGCUCCAAAACCCAACGGCCAGAUAACGCCCUUGCGCCGGCUGCGCCCCCCUGUUCGUCUGCAUCAUCCGCGACGCCGCUCCCGGGCCGCUCUCGUCCUGCCACGGAGGAUCUGGAGCCAGAUGGCGACGGAUGGGUCAAGGUGUGGAACCGCCGUCACCGGCGCCGUUAUGAAAAUGCUCCUGCCGUCAAGAUCCCGGAUGCAUCCAAGCCUCGGAUUCCCCGGUGGCUUGAGGGCCUCUGCUUUAAAUGCCUGGAGGCAGGGCACUUUAAGGCGGAGUGCUCCGGUGAAAUUCGCUGCCACCGCUGCUGGGUCUCGGGUCAUAUUGCUCGCUCCUGUUCCUCCCUCCCUUCGCAUAGCCGGGAGGCGCCGCGUCCCGCCAGAUCUCGCGGGGCUCAGCCAAAUCCCAGCGCGCCUCCCAAAUCGCCGACGGUGGGCUCUUCCGCGCUACCUCCACCUCCCCCCAGGCUCCAUGGCGCACUACCCCCCGCUGGCUCGUGAGCGUUUCCCUGGGGUGGUGCUGACCCAUGGGGAUCCCGAUCUGAGGCCGGCUCGCGGUGGCGGCAUCAUUUCGCACACAACGGGCAUGGAUGUGCUCGAGGCGGAUUUCCGCAACCGCGCGCUGCUGGCCUCGGUGCAAGGUCGGCGGCCCGCGGUGUCGCCGAAAGCGCUGGUGCAAGCCCUGGGGCGUGUGCGUGGGGUCGAGAGGAGGCAUGUCCGGGUGGAAGUGGCGCACCCAGCGGAUUUCUUCAUCUUGUUCGCUUCUACGGAGGAUUGCGACCGGGUUUUCGGCCAAACCGGCCGGAUCUGGUGCAUGGGCGCGCCCAUUCGUUCCAGCGCUGGCAUCGGUGCGCUCAAGCAUCCAGUGGCAAGCUCGAGUUCUUCUGCAAGCUGGGAAUCGAGGGCUUGCCACCGAGUGGCUGGGAGUAGGAGACGCUAA
Molecule: ribosomal RNA, 1119 nt
Filed under: Triticum aestivum (bread wheat)
Lineage: Eukaryota; Viridiplantae; Streptophyta; Magnoliopsida; Poales; Poaceae
Description: partial small subunit ribosomal RNA
Source: RNAcentral